GUGCUCGAGAGACGCUGGCGGCGUGCCUAAUACAUGCAAGUCGAGCGGAUUUGUUCCUUCGGGGACAAGUUAGCGGCGGACGGGUGAGUAACACGUAGGUAACCUGCCUAUAAGAUCGGGAUAACUAUCGGAAACGAUAGCUAAGACCGGAUAAUUGGUUUUCUCGCAUGAGAGAACUAUGAAACACGGAGCAAUCUGUGGCUUAUAGAUGGGCCUGCGGCGCAUUAGCUAGUUGGUAGGGUAAUGGCCUACCAAGGCGACGAUGCGUAGCCGACCUGAGAGGGUGAACGGCCACACUGGGACUGAGACACGGCCCAGACUCCUACGGGAGGCAGCAGUAGGGAAUCUUCCGCAAUGGACGCAAGUCUGACAGAGCAACGCCGCGUGAGUGAUGAAGGUUUUCGGAUCGUAAAGCUCUGUUGCCCUAGACGAAUAGCAAGGCGAGUAACUGCGCUUUGUGUGACGGUAUAGGAGAAGAAAGCCCCGGCUAACUACGUG
This 498-nucleotide ribosomal RNA is filed under the name uncultured Paenibacillus sp. Its description in RNAcentral is "bacterial SSU rRNA". It matches the Rfam family "Bacterial small subunit ribosomal RNA", at positions 28 to 507 of the family's 1533-position model. The record is from RNAcentral. Lineage: Bacteria; Bacillati; Bacillota; Bacilli; Caryophanales; Paenibacillaceae.